This 1590-nucleotide long non-coding RNA is filed under the name Oryza brachyantha (malo sina). RNAcentral describes it as "long non-coding RNA (OBRA_LNC002487)". The record is from RNAcentral. Lineage: Eukaryota; Viridiplantae; Streptophyta; Magnoliopsida; Poales; Poaceae.
GAUGAUAAAUGGAUAUAAUUGUACUUCUACAGAGUUUGAAGUGUGCGUGCAGGUAUAGUAAGGAUGUUUCCCAAGAUUUUAGUCAUGCCUGAGCUGCUCGAGAGUUGAGAAUGUUGGUUACAUAUAUUUCACAAGCAGUUAUUGCAACUUCUAUGCAGUCCUCUUGUACUGCGUUGAUGCCACUACUUGGAUUCGGUAAGUUGUUGGGCUCCUCUAGCCUUCCUUCCUCUUGUCAUUCUGUAUACCCAUUUAUAAUUUAUUGAGCAUUAUUGAAUAGUGUUGCAGGUUCCUUUCAGUCACCUGAUUUUUUCAGUGAUCGCAUGAAGACUUUAUUAUUUAGCAAGUAGAUAGUAUUAGUAGAUGCUUUUGAUCUGGAAAAGGCAUAAUACUUGUUUCCUCGCUGACUGUUGAAAAGCUUGAAGUUUUGACACACCUGGAUACUUCAUAAAAUCAUAAGUAGCAUGUAGUAUGGUAAGAUAUUGCCUUUAAGUAACUCUGUCAUCAUCACUACAUCAUGUGUUGAUGAGGCAUACCAGCAAAUAUUCUUUCCAUGGUUAAAAGGGCUGGAAAACCACAGUUCUACUAGGAGAUGGACCUUGACUAACAUAUGAUAUACCAUCCAUUUAGUUGCACAAUCAAACCUGAUAAAUCUUUCUUUCAGUUUUCUUGUAAGCAGCACAAUACAGUAUGUGCUCCAACACAGCAUCAAUACAGUAUGUCGGAGGAAACUCUUGCCUGCACUGGAGUCUGCUAGAGAUAACCUUACAUGGAUAUUUCUUGUGUUUCUAGGCUCUUGCAGGUAUGCUCUUAAGCUUUAGAUCAAUGUUCUUUUGAGAAUAAUAACUCAAUUGUUCAUACAUCAAUAAACGUUCCAUUGUAUAUAAGAUAAAACAUGUAGAACUCUCCUGAUUUGAUAAGUUCAAAACUUGUGCAAUAAUUCAACUUCUUCAUGGGAUAGUUGAAAGGUGAAACUGAACAGCAGUUAUCCACAUGCUGCAGAUCAAAGCUUUGCAUCGUUGUUCUCAUGGCGAACACCACUCAUAGCAAUGUCAGAAACAAUGGCUGGAGGCUGGCUUCUCCAGACAAAUAAACUACUGUGUGUAACCACACAAUAGGAGCCACGAGCAUACUACCACUACUACUUGGGGGUACAGCACGAGAGAGAUGAGGCAAGAAACACCCUCCUCUUCCCUUAAAUGUACAACCACAACAAAUUCUGAGCUCAAGCUCCAAAUCAUGGAUUUCAAUGAACAGAAGCAGCCGAAGGUAUGGCAUCCUUCAUGCACCAUAGAUUGCAGCUAGCCUCUGCAAGAUGGCCACCUUCAGCUCAAGGAUGCAGAUGUACUCAGCCGUCUGCUGGAGCAGCACAUUGACGUUGCCCUCAUGGGCAUCUGGUACGAUCUUCUUGAGCUCCCUUAGCCUCCUCUGCACCAUGUGCUGGAGGGGCUUCCUAUGCACUGAUGAGGCCACUCCUUUGGUCUUCCCAACUGUGACCAUGGAUUUCCGCUUCAUCUCUCUCUCUCUUCCCCCAAACUUAUGCUUUGCAAAUUAAGGUUGUGUUGUGUGACACAGGCACAACUCAGGAUGGAG